AGAGUUUGAUCAUGGCUCAGAACGAACGCUGGCGGCAGGCUUAACACAUGCAAGUCGAACGCAUCCUUCGGGGUGAGUGGCAGACGGGUGAGUAACGCGUGGGAACGUGCCCUUCAGUUCGGAAUAACCCAGGGAAACUUGGGCUAAUACCGGAUACGUGCGAGAGCAGAAAGAUUUAUCGCUGAAGGAUCGGCCCGCGUCUGAUUAGCUAGUUGGUAGGGUAAUGGCCUACCAAGGCGACGAUCAGUAGCUGGUCUGAGAGGAUGAUCAGCCACAUUGGGACUGAGACACGGCCCAAACUCCUACGGGAGGCAGCAGUGGGGAAUAUUGGACAAUGGGCGCAAGCCUGAUCCAGCCAUGCCGCGUGAGUGAUGAAGGCCUUAGGGUUGUAAAGCUCUUUCGUCCGGGACGAUAAUGACGGUACCGGAAGAAGAAGCCCCGGCUAACUUCGUGCCAGCAGCCGCGGUAAUACGAAGGGGGCUAGCGUUGUUCGGAAUCACUGGGCGUAAAGGGCGCGUAGGCGGCUUUAUAAGUCGGGGGUGAAAGCCUGUGGCUCAACCACAGAAUUGCCUUCGAUACUGUAUGGCUUGAGACCGGAAGAGGUAAGUGGAACUGCGAGUGUAGAGGUGAAAUUCGUAGAUAUUCGCAAGAACACCAGUGGCGAAGGCGGCUUACUGGUCCGGUUCUGACGCUGAGGCGCGAAAGCGUGGGGAGCAAACAGGAUUAGAUACCCUAGUAGUCC
RNAcentral lists this ribosomal RNA (742 nucleotides) under uncultured bacterium. Its description in RNAcentral is "bacterial SSU rRNA". It matches the Rfam family "Bacterial small subunit ribosomal RNA", at positions 8 to 796 of the family's 1533-position model. The record is from RNAcentral.